RNAcentral lists this ribosomal RNA (512 nucleotides) under uncultured bacterium. RNAcentral's name for it is "partial 16S ribosomal RNA". The record is from RNAcentral.
GGAGUUAGCCGGUGCUUCUUCUGCGAGUAACGUCACAGAUGUAAGGUAUUAACUUACACCCUUUCCUCCUCGCUGAAAGUGCUUUACAACCCGAAGGCCUUCUUCACACACGCGGCAUGGCUGCAUCAGGGUUUCCCCCAUUGUGCAAUAUUCCCCACUGCUGCCUCCCGUAGGAGUCUGGGCCGUGUCUCAGUCCCAGUGUGGCUGAUCAUCCUCUCAGACCAGCUAGGGAUCGUCGCCUAGGUGAGCCUUUACCUCACCUACUAGCUAAUCCCACCUGGGCUUAUCCAUCAGCGCAAGGCCCGAAGGUCCCCUGCUUUCCCCCGUAGGGCGUAUGCGGUAUUAGCAGUCGUUUCCAACUGUUAUCCCCCACAAAUGGGCAAAUUCCCAGGCAUUACUCACCCGUCCGCCGCUCGUCAUCUUCAAAAGCAAGCUUUUGAAAUGUUACCGCUCGACUUGCAUGUGUUAGGCCUGCCGCCAGCGUUCAAUCUGAGCCAUAAUCAAACUCUAGA